GGCGGACGGGUGAGUAACGCGUGGGUAACCGUGCCUCAUACAGGGGGAUAACAGUUGGAAACGGACUGCUAAUACCGCAUAAGCGCACAGUACCGCAUGGUACGGUGUGAAAAACUCCGGUGGUAUGAGAUGGACCCGCGUCUGAUUAGGUAGUUGGUGGGGUAACGGCCUACCAAGCCGACGAUCAGUAGCCGACCUGAGAGGGUGACCGGCCACAUUGGGACUGAGACACGGCCCAA
This 239-nucleotide ribosomal RNA is filed under the name uncultured bacterium. Its description in RNAcentral is "partial 16S ribosomal RNA". It matches the Rfam family "Bacterial small subunit ribosomal RNA", at positions 97 to 334 of the family's 1533-position model. The record is from RNAcentral.